RNAcentral lists this ribosomal RNA (489 nucleotides) under uncultured bacterium. Its description in RNAcentral is "partial 16S ribosomal RNA". It matches the Rfam family "Bacterial small subunit ribosomal RNA", at positions 30 to 507 of the family's 1533-position model. The record is from RNAcentral.
UUGAACGCUGGCGGCAGGCCUAACACAUGCAAGUCGAACGGUAACAGGAAACAGCUUGCUGUUUCGCUGACGAGUGGCGGACGGGUGAGUAAUGUCUGGGAAACUGCCUGAUGGAGGGGGAUAACUACUGGAAACGGUAGCUAAUACCGCAUAACGUCGCAAGACCAAAGAGGGGGACCUUCGGGCCUCUUGCCAUCGGAUGUGCCCAGAUGGGAUUAGCUAGUAGGUGGGGUAACGGCUCACCUAGGCGACGAUCCCUAGCUGGUCUGAGAGGAUGACCAGCCACACUGGAACUGAGACACGGUCCAGACUCCUACGGGAGGCAGCAGUGGGGAAUAUUGCACAAUGGGCGCAAGCCUGAUGCAGCCAUGCCGCGUGUAUGUAGAAGGCCUUCGGGUUGUAAAGUACUUUCAGCGGGGAUGAAGGGAGUAAAGUUAAUACCUUUGCUCAUUGACGUUACCCGCAGAAGAAGCACCGGCUAACUCCGUG